GGCUCAGAACGUACGCUGGCGGCACGCCUAACACAUGCAAGUCGAACGAAGUAGCAAUACUUAGUGGCAGACGGGUGAGUAACAUGUAGGUAUCUGCCCUUUGGCCUGGAAUAACACGAGGAAACUUGUGCUAAUACCGGAUAAGUCUUUACGGAGAAAGCUUUAUGCACCAUUGGAUGAGCCUGCACUUGAUUAGUUUGUUGGUGGGGUAAUGGCCUACCAAGACUGUGAUCAAUAGCUGAUUUGAGAGGAUGAUCAGCCACAUUGGGACUGAGACACGGCCCAAACUCCUACGGGAGGCAGCAGUGGGGAAUCUUGCACAAUGGAGGAAACUCUGAUGCAGCGAUGCCGCGUGAGUGAAGAAGGCCCUUGGGUUGUAAAGCUCUUUCGUCGGGGAAGAAAAUGACUGUACCCGAAUAAGAAGGUCCGGCUAACUUCGUGCCAGCAGCCGCGGUAAUACGAAGGGACCUAGCGUAGUUCGGAAUUACUGGGCUUAAAGAGUUCGUAGGUGGUUGAAAAAGUUAGUGGUGAAAUCCCAGAGCUUAACUCUGGAACUGCCAUUAAAACUUUUCAGCUAGAGUAUGAUAGAGGAAAGCAGAAUUUCUAGUGUAGAGGUGAAAUUCGUAGAUAUUAGAAAGAAUACCAAUUGCGAAGGCAGCUUUCUGGAUCAUUACUGACACUGAGGAACGAAAGCAUGGGUAGCGAAGAGGAUUAGAUACCCUCGUAGUCCAUGCCGUAAACGAUGUGUGUUAGACGUUGGAAAUUUAUUUUCAGUGUCGCAGGGAAACCGAUAAACACACCGCCUGGGGAGUACGACCGCAAGGUUAAAACUCAAAUGAAUUGACGGGGACCCGCACAAGUAGUGGAGCAUGUGGUUUAAUUCGAAGAUACGCGCAGAACCUUACCAACACUUGACAUGUUCGUCGCGACUCUAAGAGAUUAGAGUUUUCGGUUCGGCCGGACGAAACACAGGUGCUGCAUGGCUGUCGUCAGCUCGUGUCGUGAGAUGUUGGGUUAAGUCCCGCAACGAGCGCAACCCUCACUUUUAGUUGCCAUCAUUAAGUUGGGCACUCUGAAAGAACUGCCAGUGAUAAGCUGGAGGAAGGUGGGGAUGACGUCAAGUCCUCAUGGCCCUUACGUGUUGGGCUACACACGUGCUACAAUGGUAUCUACAACAGGAAGCAAGACUGCGAAGUUAAGCAAAUCCCUAAAAGAUACCUCAGUUCGGAUUGCACUCUGCAACUCGAGUGCAUGAAGCUGGAAUUACUAGUAAUCGUGGAUCAGCGUGCCACGGUGAAUGCGUUCCCGGGUCUUGUACACACCGCCCGUCACACCAUGGGAGUUGGUUCUACCUUAAGGCAAGGUUUCAAACCCUUGACCACGGU
RNAcentral lists this ribosomal RNA (1385 nucleotides) under uncultured bacterium. RNAcentral describes it as "bacterial SSU rRNA". It matches the Rfam family "Bacterial small subunit ribosomal RNA". The record is from RNAcentral.